This 126-nucleotide non-coding RNA is filed under the name Brevibacillus choshinensis. RNAcentral's name for it is "SAM-I sequence". It matches the Rfam family "SAM riboswitch aptamer (S box leader)". Rfam says of the family: The SAM riboswitch is found upstream of a number of genes which code for proteins involved in methionine or cysteine biosynthesis in Gram-positive bacteria. The record is from RNAcentral. Lineage: Bacteria; Bacillati; Bacillota; Bacilli; Caryophanales; Paenibacillaceae.
UUCUUAUCCAGAGAGGCGGAGGGACUGGCCCGAUGAUGCCCGGCAACCAAUCACCUGUACGAGUUAAUGUACAGGGAGAUAAUGGUGCUAAUUCCUGCAGAGUUAUCAAACUCUGAAAGAUGAGAA